GAUGAACGCUGGCGGCGUGCCUAAUACAUGCAAGUCGAGCGAACAGACGAGGAGCUUGCUCCUCUGACGUUAGCGGCGGACGGGUGAGUAACACGUGGAUAACCUACCUAUAAGACUGGGAUAACUUCGGGAAACCGGAGCUAAUACCGGAUAAUAUAUUGAACCGCAGGGGUCAAUAGUGAAAGACGGUGUUGCGGGCACGUAUAGAGGGAUCCCGGCCGGAUUAGCUGGUUGGGAAGGUAACGGCUUACCAAGGCAACGAUGCGUAGCCGACCGCUGAGGGUGGUAGCCCACCCUGGAGCGGAGACACGCUCCAUGCUCCUACGGUACGCCGCAGUCGGGUACCUGACGCAAUGGGCGAGAACUUGACGGAGCGAGGCGGCGUCAGAUGUGGCGGUCUUCCGUUCGUAAAGCUCUGUUACUAGGUGUGAACAAAUGUGUCAGUUACUAUGCACGUCGUGACGGUACCUAAUCAGAAAGCCCCGGCUAACUACGUG
This 497-nucleotide ribosomal RNA is filed under the name uncultured bacterium. RNAcentral describes it as "partial 16S ribosomal RNA". It matches the Rfam family "Bacterial small subunit ribosomal RNA", at positions 28 to 507 of the family's 1533-position model. The record is from RNAcentral.